Molecule: transfer RNA, 87 nt
Filed under: Rhodothermaceae bacterium
Lineage: Bacteria; Pseudomonadati; Rhodothermota; Rhodothermia; Rhodothermales; Rhodothermaceae
Also listed under: 3 other names
Rfam family: tRNA
About the family: Transfer RNA (tRNA) molecules are approximately 80 nucleotides in length.
Source: Rfam by way of RNAcentral
GGAGGUGUGCCAGAGCGGUCGAAUGGGGCAGUCUCGAAAACUGUUGUGUACGCAAGUGCACCGGGGGUUCGAAUCCCUCCACCUCCG